This 69-nucleotide transfer RNA is filed under the name Tinodes chinchinus. RNAcentral describes it as "tRNA-Val". Lineage: Eukaryota; Metazoa; Arthropoda; Insecta; Trichoptera; Psychomyiidae. The record is from RNAcentral. RNAcentral also lists the same sequence under 1 other name.
CAAAUUUAAUCUAAUAAUUAGUAAUUCAUUUACAAUGAAUUUUAUAUUGUGUAAAUCAAUAAAAUUUGA